UCCUAGCCGAGCGCGGUCCUCGGUCCCGGUAGGCUGCAUUGCACCCUAGGCUAUAACACUCCCCGAGAGGAGCUACAUUCCUAAGGCCUUUAUCCAACCACCAAAACCGAUGCUGGCCUGAGCGCGACCGAGUGCACCAGUGAGAACACCGGAUGAUCAGCCGCGCGCAAGUCUGGUUGCAAGCGCUUCCCUUUCAACAAUUUCACGUACUGUUUAACUCUCUUUCCAAAGUGCUUUUCAUCUUUCGAUCACUCUACUUGUGCGCUAUCGGUCUCUGGCCAAUAUUUAGCUUUAGAUGAAAUUUACCACCCAUUUUGAGCUGCAUUCCCAAACAACUCGACUCGUCGAAGGAGUUUCACAUGAGCGUAGGCACCUGACCGCAUACGGGAUUCUCACCCUCUAUGACGUCCUGUUCCAAGGAACUUAGGCCAGACCAUGCUCGAAACAUCCUCUACAAAUUACAACUCGGACCGUGAGGCCAGAUUUCAAAUUUGAGCUGUUACCGCUUCACUCGCCGUUACUGAGGUAAUCCCUGUUGGUUUCUUUUCCUCCG
Molecule: ribosomal RNA, 553 nt
Filed under: Pseudogymnoascus pannorum
Lineage: Eukaryota; Fungi; Ascomycota; Leotiomycetes; Thelebolales; Thelebolaceae
Description: partial 28S ribosomal RNA
Source: RNAcentral